CUUCCCCAAGGCCUUAAGGCAAUACAGCGAUUUAUAGGCUUUGCCAAUUAUUAUCGGAGGUUUAUUAAAACCUUUUCAUCAGUUAUUUCUCCUAUCACGAAACUGACUAAAAAGGGUUUGCACCCCAGGGUUUGGACUCCUGAAGCCGUUAAAGCCUUCGAGAAUCUCAAAAAGGCAUUUGCCACUGCCCCUGUGCUACACCAUCCUGAUCCUUCCCUUCCCUUUGUUAUGGAAGUAGACGCUUCAGAAUCAGGUGUAGGAGCCGUAUUAUCACAAAGACUAUCG
Pelobates cultripes (western spadefoot toad) is the source of this 285-nucleotide non-coding RNA. Lineage: Eukaryota; Metazoa; Chordata; Amphibia; Anura; Pelobatidae. The record is from the annotation of a GenBank genome assembly.